This 71-nucleotide transfer RNA is filed under the name Cricetulus griseus (Chinese hamster). It matches the Rfam family "tRNA". Rfam says of the family: Transfer RNA (tRNA) molecules are approximately 80 nucleotides in length. Their secondary structure includes four short double-helical elements and three loops (D, anti-codon, and T loops). The record is from Rfam by way of RNAcentral. Lineage: Eukaryota; Metazoa; Chordata; Mammalia; Rodentia; Cricetidae.
GCAUGGGUGGUUCAGUGGUAGAAUUCUCGCCUGCCACUCGGGAGGCCCGGGUUCAUUUCCAGGCCCAUGCA